Molecule: long non-coding RNA, 755 nt
Filed under: Anas platyrhynchos platyrhynchos (common mallard)
Lineage: Eukaryota; Metazoa; Chordata; Aves; Anseriformes; Anatidae
Description: lncRNA (ENSAPLG00000019264.1)
Source: RNAcentral
CGACUGCAUCACCACUAAAAAUAGAACAGUGAGUUCAGAGAGGAUGUAAAAUGCAGUAUUUCUAUCAGAAAAAUGCUAAUAGUUCAAGCUGCAAUAGGAAACUGAAAAGGCCAUAAGGACUACAUGAACUGUCAAAAUGUGUGCAGCACAGGCUGUGAAUAAAGAUUGUGAUUAAAGCUAAUUGACAGGCAAUUUUCAACAGACAGAGGAAUCAAGGGAUCCAGUCUCUGAUAGCAGUAUAGCUUUUCCUUUUGACUGAAUUCAUCCUUUACAAGCUAUUUUUUUUUAAGUUGUCUUAGUUUACUUCUCCUCCUCCCAGUGAAGAUUUCACUUCAAACAUCAGCUGGGAUAAAUUUCAGUCAUGGUCUUCAGAACUGUUAUACCCAGAGGCCGAUUCUCUUAGAGCUUUUUCCACCUUUUCACCUGGUUGUCAGCUUGCUUCCAUGGGUCUGCCUUCAAAGACAGCCAAAUCAGGUUCUUCUGUCCAUCAAAGUCCAUCUUGGGAGGUGGGAGGGAAUAGCAGCUGUAUAGUUUGGAUGCAUCAGGCAAGGCGAGGAUGCAGCUGUGCUUCUCUGCAGAAGGCCGUGAUGGUGCAGUGCAAUCACCUGGCAGCAGCUGCACAUGAAACAAAUCCCACAGCUGUCAGCAUGUCCUGGCCACUUCAAGGGAAAUGGCACCAACUUUGUGCCAGCCUCGCUACAAAGUUUAACAGACUCACCCGAAGGAUAGCAGCACCAUCUCGUGGGUACAUUUAA